RNAcentral lists this ribosomal RNA (253 nucleotides) under uncultured bacterium. RNAcentral's name for it is "partial 16S ribosomal RNA". It matches the Rfam family "Bacterial small subunit ribosomal RNA", at positions 524 to 776 of the family's 1533-position model. The record is from RNAcentral.
UACAGAGGGUGCAAGCGUUGUUCGGAAUUACUGGGCGUAAAGGGUUCGUAGGCGGUGCGGCAAGUUGGGAGUGAAAUCUCUGGGCUUAACCCAGAGACUGCUCUCAAAACUGCUGUGCUUGAGUGUGGGAGAGGCGCGUGGAAUUGCAGGUGUAGCGGUGAAAUGCGUAGAUAUCUGCAGGAACACCCGUGGCGAAAGCGGCGCGCUGGACCACAACUGGCGCUGAGGAACGAAAGCUAGGGGAGCAAACAGG